Paramuricea clavata is the source of this 476-nucleotide non-coding RNA. The record is from the annotation of a GenBank genome assembly. Lineage: Eukaryota; Metazoa; Cnidaria; Anthozoa; Malacalcyonacea; Plexauridae.
AGGCGCUAACCAGAACGCUCAUAUCCCAUUCCCCUUUGCGCGACUAUAAUGUGACGCAAUACUUCAUGUCAACCUUUUAUAUAGUGACUUGUAUCUGAAAUCUUUUUAUAGCGCCUGGGGACGAGACAGCACAAAAAAUAUCAUGACCAUAAGAACACAUUGGUAUCGAAGGUACUAGACUUAGUUCCGAAAUACCACACACUCGAACCGACUUGACCUCGUAGCUCAGUUGGCAGAGCAUUGGACUAGUAUCCCAAAGGUCGCGGGUUCGAUUCCCACCGUGUUUAGGCUAUCCGGUGUGGAUACACACUCAGAGUAACAUAAAAAACAUUAUAUUCACCUGAGUACAUAACACCAAGACACACGCAAAAAUAUGCCCACGAUAAAUUUGCUAGGCGAGGACAAUUUUCCCACCACAAAAUUGAAAUAAAUUAUGAAACAAUGAAUGAAUAUCCGUAUUACCUUUUAUAGUUGGG